This 494-nucleotide ribosomal RNA is filed under the name uncultured bacterium. RNAcentral's name for it is "partial 16S ribosomal RNA". It matches the Rfam family "Bacterial small subunit ribosomal RNA", at positions 28 to 507 of the family's 1533-position model. The record is from RNAcentral.
GACGAACGCUGGCGGCGUGCUUAACACAUGCAAGUCGAACGGAAAGGCCUGCUUUCCCUUGUGGAUUGCGGGUACUCGAGUGGCGAACGGGUGAGUAACACGUGAGUGAUCUGCCCCCAACUUUGGUAUAAGCCUGGGAAACUGGGUCUAAUUCCCGAUAGGACUGCAGGGUGGUGCCUGUGGUGGAAAACGAUUUUCUAGUGGUUGGGGAUGAGCUCGCGGCCUAUCAGCUUGUUGGUGGGGUAAUGGCCUACCAAGGCGGCGACGGGUAGCCGGCCUGAGAGGGUGGACGGCCACAUUGGGACUGAGAUACGGCCCAGACUCCUACGGGAGGCAGCAGUGGGGAAUAUGACACAAUGGGCGGAAGCCUGAUGCAGCGACGCCGCGUGGGGGAUGACGGCCUUCGGGUUGUAAACUCCUUUCGACCGCGAGGAAGCCACCUGGUUGGAAGGGUGGUGACGGUAGUGGUAGAAGAAGCACCGGCUAACUACGUG